CAGUAGCCGCGGGAAUACGUAGGUGGCAAGCGUUGUUCGGAAUUAUUGGGCGUAAAGGGCUCGCAGGCGGUUUCUUAAGUCUGAUGUGAAAGCCCCCGGCUCAACCGGGGAGGGUCAUUGGAAACUGGGAAACUUGAGCGCAGAAGAGGAGAGUGGAAUUCCACGUGUAGCGGUGAAAUGCGUAGAGAUGUGGAGGAACACCAGUGGCGAAGGCGACUCUCUGGUCUGUAACUGACGCUGAGGAGCGAAAGCGUGGGGAGCGAACAGGAUUAGAUACCCCCGUAGUCCCUGUCUCUAUACC
RNAcentral lists this ribosomal RNA (301 nucleotides) under uncultured bacterium. RNAcentral describes it as "partial 16S ribosomal RNA". It matches the Rfam family "Bacterial small subunit ribosomal RNA", at positions 509 to 808 of the family's 1533-position model. The record is from RNAcentral.